CAAAAUCACAACAACUUCACAGAUGUUGCCAUACGCUAAUUUGGAUCAGCUCAGUAGACUGAAAACUGAAGUUUAUAGUUGUCCAUUAUAUUAUAAAGCAAAUUCAUACAUCUAAUUUACACAGCUUAGAAAGGCAUUGUAGCAAACCGUGAUGUUAUGAAUACAAAUAGCCCUAGCAGUAGCAUGUGAUUAGGAUAACUUGUUUAGCAUCAAGUAGAAAGUUAUUCAGAAUGGGCUUUAAUGUGGUAAAUGUUUCCUGUAGUGGCUUCCAACUACCAGUACCAGAUCAGUCUGCAGUCCAGCUCUGUUCCACAAUUUCCCUUACUCUACGAUUGUACUCACGCUUGUUCUCACUAAACAUCCGAGCAGCUUCUGAGUUCGCAGGAGAAUUGGGGUUGGGGUCGCAUAGCAGUGAGUGCAAUAUAAAAUUAUCAUAAACAGCAGGUAAAUAUUUUGCAUCAUGAAAAGAUUUGGAUUAUUUUAUGGGUUGCACUAUGUAAAUUAAAAUCUUUACAGGACUCGUCUUACUUCACGUCCAUGGCGCUUAUAUACUCAAGGAAAAAAUUUCACUACCCCUGGAAAUCCUAAAGAUGUAUGUGAAAAAGGUUGUUAUCACAUUUAUGAACAUCUAAAUUCUGAAAUCCUAAGAUGUAUGCGAAAAAGGUAUAUCACUAUUGAAUGCUAAAUGUCUUGCUCUUAUUAACUUGUUUUUAUACUAUUUUUUCUUUUUUUUAAAAAAAACAAAAACAAAAACUCCCUACCAGAGAAAAAAGGGGCAGAAAAGAGAGUUCAUUGGUUUACCACCGAUGUAGGAUCAUGGCGAUGCCACAUCGACUACAUGUUGCCCCACCAAAAAAGAAAUAUCUUCUUUCCCUUAUCCCUUAUCCCUUGUACUGUAUUUUUAUUUAAGUUCUGUUAAGUCAAACAACCUGUGGACAGAGGUAGCAACAUUUAGGGGUAAGGUAUUAAACAUUUGGACUAGACAUAAUUAGAAAUUUUCACAUAAAUGGCACCUUGAAGACUUGUAACUCAAUUGAAUAUAGGAGAGAUAGAACAUUUGUUUAGUUCAGCGAAUCUGAUAAUGGCUUAAUAGUAGGUCCGAUGGUCUUUCAUUAGCUAUAAAACUGUAUUCCAUUCUCUUUGUUUGAUAAGUCUAAAAGCAAUGAUGCAAACAAAAAUGAAAACAUGUUGAAAUUUAAGAAUAAUGUCAGACCUGGCACUUUUGAAUCUUAAUUUGCUUCCAUCAUUGAAAACUAGAACAAAAGUGAUCUAGAAUUUGCACAUACGCAUGAAGUACACAACAAUAGUCCUGCAAUCUCAAUUAAUUUAUAUAAGAUACUUGAUAGUUACUACCCAAGCACUCAAAAAUUUACUAGAGAAAGGAUAAUUUUUUCUUACCUACAAGACUACAAGUGGCCUUAGUUCAUUAAUUUUGCAUUAGUAACUAGAUAAAAUUACAGAAAACACUACAUUUAACAUUCCAUUCUACCUGGAUAGAUGUGAGGAUAGCUGCAACAUCAUAUAUCGGACUCCACUGAUUUUGUAGGAUAUCCAGACAUAUACUUCCGUCUGCAUAAACUGUCGAAUUCAAAUAGUAGAAUUGGAAGUCAGAAAACAUUCUAAGGUAACUCCUGGAAUGAAGUGGAACUUAAUGUGAAAAAUUAAAAUUUAACUCCAACUUACUAUUUGGAUGGAACAUGCGAGAGACAAAUCGCACUGUUGGAGGCUUGUUUGGAUAGUCCUCGGAAAACUGAAGAGUCAACUUAAACGUACCUGAUGUGCUAAAAAAUGUUAUUGGAUAUCCAAAUUAAAAUUACUCUGCUACAAAAUAAACAGAUAAAAUUUUACUCACAAAUACAAUUAUAUAAAAUAUUAUGGAUAAACCAGACAAUAUUUACUCGCAUAAAAUACGUUACCAAAUUUCAUUAAAUAUUUCACAUAAAUAAAAAUACCCGCUGUUACAUACAAGAUGAUAUAUACACAAUGAUUAGGCAACUGGUGAGCAACUAAUUACUUCGAAAUAGAAUUGCAAUGCAGGAAUAUCCAUAUAUAUUGAAAAUAAUAUACUAAAUAACAUUGCAAUAUCAAAAUAAAAUAAAUUCAAAACAUCAAUGGAAACUUGCAGGGGAUGGUACGUGCAAAGGAGAACAAAAAGCAUCUGCACUGAUACUACAAUGGUCAUGAACAGGGGGCCGACGCAGGUUAGGGGCAGGGGGGCACCUACCCCCACUGAAAUUUCAUUGGUCAGGGGCAUACAGAUCAACUUAAAAUUUUUUUAGAAGAAUUUAUACUUAAAAAUCUGUUACCUCUAAAAAGUAAAGGCUACGACACUACUCUAAAUCAAUUGGAUGUGGACGGGGUGGACCAAUCCCACUGCAAUACUCCAUCUCCAUUAGACUUUUAGUACUUUUCACUUUUUUCUCCAUAUCAAACUUUUAGUUUUCCACUUUUCACUUUUCAGUAACAUCCGAUCGCAACAAAGCAACAUAACUCCAUAUUAGCAAUUAAUCGCAAAUCGCAAUCGCAAUCGCAUCGCAACAGAGCAGCAACGUAACUCCAAAUUGAUUCAGGUAUAUUUUAAUUUUAAUUUUAGUUUUUUAAUUUCACAAGUUUAACAAUUGCUUUAGAAAUUUUUGUAAUUGUUUAUAGAUUCUUUGUUUUUGUACUUUUAUAAAAUUAGGGCUUUUUACUUCUUAAAGCAACCCUUCAACAAUGAAGAGAACUCCAUCAAAUAAAAGUUCUUUAAGUUCAAGUAUGUGAUCUAUUCUAUUUUUACUUUCUUUAAAUUUAGUAAUGUUACUCGUUAGUAGUUUAAUUGAGAUUGUUUAUUAUUCGUGCUAAUUACACUUGACUAUUCAUAUUGUCUAUUGAUCUUGUUUUAAUGUUGAAUUAAUUUUUAAAUAUUUAAUGAUUGUUAGAUAUGGACAUACAUAAUUGAGUUACAACAACUAAACGUACAAAAUUUGAAUCUAUUCAUGAAAAUGUCCAAGCCGAAGGGACUAGUGAAGAACAUGUCACUGCUGAUAUUCACCAAGAAACACACCCGCAAAAUGUCAAUCCCCAAACCCAAGUAUUUACUUAGGGGGCCGACUCAACCAAUACCUCACAAAUUUCCUGAUACACUAAUUAAUAGAGUUGCUCGUAAAUUUAACAAGAAUUGGUACAAGAAAUAUCCAAAUUAUCUGGAAUAUAGUUUAAGUGAAGAUGCUCUAUUUUGUUUGUGUUGUUACCUGUUUAAAAUUUAUAUGGUAACCAAGGUGGCGGGGAUGCAUUUGUUGGCGAGGGAUUUAGGAAUUAGAAGAAGAUGGAUAGAUUGGAAAUACAUGUUGGAGAUCAUGGUAGUGUUCAUCGUAAAUGUGAACAGGCUUGUCGUGAUUUAAUGAAUCAACCUCAGCACAUUGAUAUCAAUCUUGCUAACAUAACUGAGCAACAAAGGAUCGAUUACUG
RNAcentral lists this long non-coding RNA (3447 nucleotides) under Panax ginseng (ginseng). Its description in RNAcentral is "long non-coding RNA (PGIN_LNC013709)". The record is from RNAcentral. Lineage: Eukaryota; Viridiplantae; Streptophyta; Magnoliopsida; Apiales; Araliaceae.